GCUUAACACAUGCAAGUCGAACGCCCUCUUCGGAGGGAGUGGCAGACGGGUGAGUAACACGUGGGAACCUACCUAGGGGUACGGAAUAACUCGAGGAAACUCGUGCUAAUACCGUAUACGACCUUCGGGUGAAAGAUUUAUCGCCCCUAGAUGGGCCCGCGCUGGAUUAGCUAGUUGGUGGGGUAAAGGC
RNAcentral lists this ribosomal RNA (190 nucleotides) under Rhodobiaceae bacterium. RNAcentral describes it as "partial 16S ribosomal RNA". It matches the Rfam family "Bacterial small subunit ribosomal RNA", at positions 46 to 264 of the family's 1533-position model. Lineage: Bacteria; Pseudomonadati; Pseudomonadota; Alphaproteobacteria; Hyphomicrobiales; Rhodobiaceae. The record is from RNAcentral.